UUAAGCGACUAAGCGUACACGGUGGAUGCCCUGGCAGUCAGAGGCGAUGAAGGACGUGCUAAUCUGCGAAAAGCGCCGGCGAGGUGAUAUGAACCUUUGACCCGGCGAUGUCCGAAUGGGGAAACCCAGUGUGUUCCGACACACUAUCGUUAACUGAAUACAUAGGUUAACGAGGCGAACCGGGGGAACUGAAACAUCUAAGUACCCCGAGGAAAAGAAAUCAACCGAGAUUCCCCCAGUAGCGGCGAGCGAACGGGGAGCAGCCCAGAGUCUGAAUCAGCUUGUGUGUUAGUGGAAGCGUCUGGAAAGUCGCACGGUACAGGGUGACAGUCCCGUACACGAAAAUGCACAGGUUGUGAACUCGAAGAGUAGGGCGGGACACGUGGUAUCCUGUCUGAAUAUGGGGGGACCAUCCUCCAAGGCUAAAUACUCCUGACUGACCGAUAGUGAACCAGUACCGUGAGGGAAAGGCGAAAAGAACCCCGGCGAGGGGAGUGAAAAAGAACCUGAAACCGUGUACGUACAAGCAGUGGGAGCACCUUCGUGGUGUGACUGCGUACCUUUUGUAUAAUGGGUCAGCGACUUAUAUUCUGUAGCAAGGUUAACCGUAUAGGGGAGCCGAAGGGAAACCGAGUCUUAACUGGGCGUUAAGUUGCAGGGUAUAGACCCGAAACCCGGUGAUCUAGCCAUGGGCAGGUUGAAGGUUGGGUAACACUAACUGGAGGACCGAACCGACUAAUGUUGAAAAAUUAGCGGAUGACUUGUGGCUGGGGGUGAAAGGCCAAUCAAACCGGGAGAUAGCUGGUUCUCCCCGAAAGCUAUUUAGGUAGCGCCUCGUGAACUCAUCUUCGGGGGUAGAGCACUGUUUCGGCUAGGGGGCCAUCCCGGCUUACCAACCCGAUGCAAACUACGAAUACCGAAGAAUGUUAUCACGGGAGACACACGGCGGGUGCUAACGUCCGUCGUGAAGAGGGAAACAACCCAGACCGCCAGCUAAGGUCCCAAAGUCAUGGUUAAGUGGGAAACGAUGUGGGAAGGCACAGACAGCCAGGAUGUUGGCUUAGAAGCAGCCAUCAUUUAAAGAAAGCGUAAUAGCUCACUGGUCGAGUCGGCCUGCGCGGAAGAUGUAACGGGGCUAAACCAUGCACCGAAGCUGCGGCAGCGACACUAUGUGUUGUUGGGUAGGGGAGCGUUCUGUAAGCCGUUGAAGGUGUGCUGUGAGGCAUGCUGGAGGUAUCAGAAGUGCGAAUGCUGACAUAAGUAACGAUAAAGCGGGUGAAAAGCCCGCUCGCCGGAAGACCAAGGGUUCCUGUCCAACGUUAAUCGGGGCAGGGUGAGUCGACCCCUAAGGCGAGGCCGAAAGGCGUAGUCGAUGGGAAACAGGUUAAUAUUCCUGUACUUGGUGUUACUGCGAAGGGGGGACGGAGAAGGCUAUGUUAGCCGGGCGACGGUUGUCCCGGUUUAAGCAUGUAGGCGGAACGAUUAGGUAAAUCCGGUCGUUUAUUAACGCUGAGGUGUGAUGACGAGGCACUACGGUGCUGAAGUAACAAAUGCCCUGCUUCCAGGAAAAGCCUCUAAGCAUCAGGUAACAUUAAAUCGUACCCCAAACCGACACAGGUGGUCAGGUAGAGAAUACCAAGGCGCUUGAGAGAACUCGGGUGAAGGAACUAGGCAAAAUGGUGCCGUAACUUCGGGAGAAGGCACGCUGAUAUGUAGGUGAAGCCCCUGCGGGUGGAGCUGAAAUCAGUCGAAGAUACCAGCUGGCUGCAACUGUUUAUUAAAAACACAGCACUGUGCAAACACGAAAGUGGACGUAUACGGUGUGACGCCUGCCCGGUGCCGGAAGGUUAAUUGAUGGGGUUAGCGGCAACGCGAAGCUCUUGAUCGAAGCCCCGGUAAACGGCGGCCGUAACUAUAACGGUCCUAAGGUAGCGAAAUUCCUUGUCGGGUAAGUUCCGACCUGCACGAAUGGCGUAAUGAUGGCCAGGCUGUCUCCACCCGAGACUCAGUGAAAUUGAACUCGCUGUGAAGAUGCAGUGUACCCGCGGCAAGACGGAAAGACCCCGUGAACCUUUACUAUAGCUUGACACUGAACACUGGUCUUUGAUGUGUAGGAUAGGUGGGAGGCUUUGAAGUGUGGACGCCAGUCUGCAUGGAGCCGUCCUUGAAAUACCACCCUUUAAUGGCUGGUGUUCUAACGUAGACCCGUAAUCCGGGUUGCGGACAGUGUCUGG
RNAcentral lists this ribosomal RNA (2234 nucleotides) under Enterobacter cloacae. RNAcentral describes it as "bacterial LSU rRNA". It matches the Rfam family "Bacterial large subunit ribosomal RNA", at positions 1 to 2261 of the family's 2925-position model. Lineage: Bacteria; Pseudomonadati; Pseudomonadota; Gammaproteobacteria; Enterobacterales; Enterobacteriaceae. The record is from RNAcentral.